Molecule: ribosomal RNA, 484 nt
Filed under: uncultured bacterium
Lineage: Bacteria
Description: partial 16S ribosomal RNA
Rfam family: Bacterial small subunit ribosomal RNA
Source: RNAcentral
AUUGAACGCUGGCGGCAUGCUUUACACAUGCAAGUCGAACGGCAGCGCGGGCUUCGGCCUGGCGGCGAGUGGCGAACGGGUGAGUAAUACAUCGGAACGUGCCCAGUAGUGGGGGAUAGCUCGGCGAAAGCCGGAUUAAUACCGCAUACGACCUGAGGGUGAAAGCGGGGGAUCUUCGGACCUCGCGCUAUUGGAGCGGCCGAUGGCAGAUUAGCUAGUUGGUGGGGUAAAGGCCAACCAAGGCGACGAUCUGUAGCUGGUCUGAGAGGACGACCAGCCACACUGGGACUGAGACACGGCCCAGACUCCUACGGGAGGCAGCAGUGGGGAAUUUUGGACAAUGGGCGAAAGCCUGAUCCAGCAAUGCCGCGUGUGUGAUGAAGGCCUUCGGGUUGUAAAGCACUUUUGGCGGGAACGAAAAGGACUGUGCCAAUACCACGGUUCGAUGACGGUACCCGCAGAAUAAGCACCGGCUAACUACGUG